AUGGUGGUUGAUGCCCUUCCUAUCAUCCUAGAUAAGGCCAAGGCCGCUAGCCAUAUUCGCGGUGUAGUCCCUCACCGGGUAGGAGGGGGAGGGGUCUCCCUCCUGCAAUAUGCGGACGAUACCAUAAUAAUGGUGGAGGGCUCUGCGCUAGACAUUGCCAACCUGAAGUUCCUCCUCCAUUGCUUCCAACUGAUGUCGGGGCUCACAAUCAACUUCGAUAAGAGCGAAGUGAUGAUUCUUGGGUACCCCCCGGAGGAGGCCCAGGCUAUAGCUGACCGACUGAAUUGUCGGCUGGGUACUUUCCCUACAACCUAUUUAGGGAUACCCAUUAGUGACUCGCGCCUCACCGUGGCUGACCUUCGCCCGACGGUGACCCGUAUGCAGCACCAGGUAGAGCCCUGGAAACGGAGGUGGCUUUCGAAGGCCGCUCGCAUGAUCCUCAUUAACUCCUCGCUUGCCAGCCUACUUUGGUUUCUCAUGAGCUUCUAUAGCCUCCAUGAGACGCUCCAUCACGAGAUCGCCAAGUACCAAUCCAGGUUUUUCUGGGCAGGCGAGGGGGAUAAGUAG
This 567-nucleotide ribosomal RNA is filed under the name Triticum aestivum (bread wheat). Its description in RNAcentral is "partial small subunit ribosomal RNA". Lineage: Eukaryota; Viridiplantae; Streptophyta; Magnoliopsida; Poales; Poaceae. The record is from RNAcentral.